Oryctolagus cuniculus (rabbit) is the source of this 1983-nucleotide non-coding RNA. NCBI's taxonomy places the organism in Eukaryota, Metazoa, Chordata, Mammalia, Lagomorpha, Leporidae. The record is from RefSeq and is a predicted model, not a curated record.
UCUGUCCCGGUUGCCCCUCUUCCAGGCCAGCUCUCUGCUGUGGCCAGGGAGUGCAGUGGAGGAUGACUCAAGUGCUUGGGACCCUGCACCCGCGUGGGAGACCAGGAAGAAGUACCUGGCUCCUGGCUUCGGAUCAGCAUAGUCCUGGCCGUAGCAGCCAUUUGGGGGGUGAACCAACGGAAGGAAGACUUUUAUCUCUGUCUCUCUCUCUUUUUGUCUAACUCUAUCUGUUGAAUAAAUAAAAAAAAAAAAUAGAAGGUGGGUGUGUUGUAACUUCUAUUGUCAUAAUCACACUCUCACCUCCUCUCUUCCAAGUUGAUCAGUGCCUGGGAGCUAACCCUCAGUGGGUGUAGUAUUCAUCUGUGCUUCUUCAUUCACUGCUCUGGGGAUCUGUGCAGUCCUCAGUGUGAGCACGGAUCCCACUGCAGUGACCACCCCAGACAAUCAGUGGAGUCACACACAGUGAUUGCCCAGAGACCUAGCUACACCCUGUGCCCUCUUGUGAUGUCAUAGUGUUUCUACUGUCUCAGCAUUCAGGGCUCUCACAGGCAUGGGCUACAGAAGAUCCACUCCACCCUGUUAGCCUGUCCUAUCUACAGAGAAGCUGGGUUGGUCCCAGAGCCAGCAGCUUGUGGGUGCUUUGUCUAGGCAGGUUAAACCCUGGAGCUCUGCAGUCUGUGAUAUUUUGAGAGUCUGGGGGCACCUCACAGUCAUAUCCAAAGAAUACUAUAUGUCAUGGCACAUUAGCAGAUAAGCAAGACAGAAAAAAAUUGGAUUUGGGAACCUAUGAUCUUACCAUGGUAAGCACCUUGUAAUUAGUAACUUUGGAAGUAGCACAGUUUUGGCCUGAGUCUUGAUGAUGGAAAUGGACAUAUAUUUUCCUUCCUCACAAAAUGAGGAUAAUUACACAUUCCUUGUACAGUGUUUGUGAAGAUAAAAUGAAAAAAGUUUCAACAGGAGGUCAGUGGUUUGCACCUGAAGUUGAAUGGAUGAGGGAGUCUGUCUGACUUCAUGUUCUCAAGAGCAGGACAUGUACUGCUGAUGGAGCAGGUGGGAACAUGGACUGUCACAAAAGUCCAGGAAACACGCGUUGUAGGUGUCUUAAGCCAAACGAAUCCUGUUUGAAUACUGCCCCAAUUAUCACCAGCAGACAUCUAGUUCUAUUCAGUGCUAAAGAAGGUAAGAGGAAAGAAUUAGCUCUGGAAUUAAUGUAAUUCUGAUGCACAGAAUUUCACAAUUUCAAAAUUAGGAACAUCACAACUCAGUUGUAUUGCUUUCAAGCACAAUACUCUGAACAAGAGUGUGGGGUGGGGACUAUCUAUGGCAAGGUUUGUAGUUCUCUGUAAUUAAAAUUCUCCAGAGUGUGUGAGAGAAAGCACAUGAAUUGGUCUUUAUGGAGUUGGAAACUCUUGGCCCAUUAGUCAUUUCAGUUGGGAUAAAUGUGGCUUAAAAUAUGGAUCAAAAGGGGGCAAAAGUAAAGGUACUUCAGCUCAGAUGAACAGAAAACUGUACUGAAUAAAAAUGCAUAGAGGAAAACUUGGUUGGAUUAUUGUAUAUAGCUAGGGAAAAACCCUAAACCACACCUAGAACACAGAGCAGUAUAGUUAAACUAAAAUGUACGUAUUUUAAUUCUAUUUGCAUUCAUCCUUUGUGCUUUCUCUAAUUGAAUCAUUUUGAGGGUUUAUUUGUUUAUUUAAAAGGCAGAAUUACAGAGGAGCAGAAGCAGAGUGAGAGAGAGAGAGAGGUCUUCUAUCUGCUGGUUACUCCCCACGUGGCCACAAUGGCUAGAGCUAGGCCAAUCCGAAGCCAGGAGCCCUGGCUCUCACAUGUGGGUGCAGGGGCCAAGGACUUGGGCCAUGUUAUUCUGCUUUUCCAGCCAAGUGGGACUCAAACCAGCACCCAUAUGCAAUGCCAGCACUGCAAGUGGUGGCUUUACCUGCGGUGUCAUAGAGCUGGCUCCUCUCUGAAUUAUUGUGAUGGCAU